RNAcentral lists this ribosomal RNA (940 nucleotides) under human gut metagenome. RNAcentral's name for it is "bacterial SSU rRNA". It matches the Rfam family "Bacterial small subunit ribosomal RNA", at positions 8 to 935 of the family's 1533-position model. The record is from RNAcentral.
AGAGUUUGAUCCUGGCUCAGGAUGAACGCUGGCGGCAUGCCUAAUACAUGCAAGUCGAACGAGAGGAAGGAAAGCUUGCUUUUCUGAAUCUAGUGGCGAACGGGUGAGUAACACGUAGGUAACCUGCCCAUGUGCCCGGGAUAACUUCUGGAAACGGAUGCUAAAACCGGAUAGGUAGCAGACAAGCAUUUGACUGCUAUUAAAGUGGCCUUGGCCAUGAACAUGGAUGGACCUGCGGUGCAUUAGCUGGUUGGUGAGGUAACGGCCCACCAAGGCGACGAUGCAUAGCCGGCCUGAGAGGGCGGACGGCCACAUUGGGACUGAGACACGGCCCAAACUCCUACGGGAGGCAGCAGUAGGGAAUUUUCGUCAAUGGGGGGAACCCUGAACGAGCAAUGCCGCGUGAGUGAGGAAGGUCUUCGGAUCGUAAAGCUCUGUUGUAAGAGAAAAACGGCACUCAUAGGGAAUGAUGAGUGAGUGAUGGUAUCUUACCAGAAAGUCACGGCUAACUACGUGCCAGCAGCCGCGGUAAUACGUAGGUGGCGAGCGUUAUCCGGAAUGAUUGGGCGUAAAGGGUGCGUAGGUGGCAGAUCAAGUCUGGAGUAAAAGGUAUGGGCUCAACCCGUACUGGCUCUGGAAACUGAUCAGCUAGAGAACAGAAGAGGACGGCGGAACUCCAUGUGUAGCGGUAAAAUGCGUAGAUAUAUGGAAGAACACCGGUGGCGAAGGCGGCCGUCUGGUCUGGAUUCUGACACUGAAGCACGAAAGCGUGGGGAGCAAAUAGGAUUAGAUACCCUAGUAGUCCACGCCGUAAACGAUGAGAACUAGGUGUUGGGGGAAUAACUCAGUGCCGCAGUUAACGCAGUAAGUUCUCCGCCUGGGGAGUAUGCACGCAAGUGUGAAACUCAAAGGAAUUGACGGGGGCCCGCACAAGCGGUGG